UGAGCCGGCCCUGCGCACAUAGACUGGAGAGCUUCAUUGGGGUUGAUAAGAAGUUGGCAAACAGGACAGAAAUGCUCCCCGGGAACUGAUUCAAUUUUCGCUAUGCGUUGAAUGUCAAAACCCAUUGGUUCUCAGAUCUCAAGAGCUGUCGUGGCCUAAUGACAAAGCAGCUUUUAAGUCUAUGAGAUAAAUAACAAAUGGAGAAUUUAAAAUUAGUGGGUAGAUUCACACUAGACUGAUCUCUCAUAAAACAUAUACUAAAGAUUCUAGCAACUGCGAUUUCCACCAAGAAAAGAGAUUAAUUAACACAGUCUUUUUUUUUUUUUGAAAGAUAAUUAACACAGUCAACACAUGGAAAUACAAAGAGAGAAGUGACCACGAGAUGCAGUGUAAUGUAAGCAAACUUGAACUAGAACAAAGGAAAACGACGAGAUCACGAAGCGCUGUUGAUGGAUGUUACAUGAUACUUACUUGUGAGAAAACUGACGAUAGCCGAGUGAAAGAGAAGAGAGUCGAGACCGGAGAUGACAACACUUGAGGAGUUGCUGUAAUUAUAUAGGUCUUUAUUUGGUUUUAAACUUUUCUUUGAUACGGAGUCAAACUUGAA
RNAcentral lists this long non-coding RNA (607 nucleotides) under Brassica rapa (field mustard). Its description in RNAcentral is "long non-coding RNA (BRAP_LNC001761)". Lineage: Eukaryota; Viridiplantae; Streptophyta; Magnoliopsida; Brassicales; Brassicaceae. The record is from RNAcentral.